CUUGGGAGCGGCAUAACCCCUGGAAACUGGGGAUAAUUCCGGAUAACGCAUAUUUGCUGGAAUGCUUUAUGCGUCAAAAGGAUUCGUCUGCCCAAGGAUGGGUCUGCGGCCUAUCAGGUAGUAGUGGGUGUAAUGUACCUACUAGCCAGCGACGGGUACGGGUUGUGAGAGCAAGAGCCCGGAGAUGGAUUCUGAGACAUGAAUCCAGGCCCUACGGGGCGCAGCAGGCGCGAAAACUUUACAAUGCGGGAAACCGUGAUAAGGGGACACCGAGUGCCAGCAUCAUAUGCUGGCUGUCCGGAUGUGUAAAAUACAUCCGUUAGCAAGGGCCGGGCAAGACCGGUGCCAGCCGCCGCGGUAACACCGGCGGCCCGAGUGGUGAUCGUGAUUAUUGGGUCUAAAGGUUCCGUAGCCGGUUUGGUCAGUCCUCCGGGAAAUCUGAUAGCUCAACUAUUAGGCUUUCGGGGGAUACUGCCAGACUCGGAACCGGGAGAGGUAAGAGGUACUACAGGGGUAGGAGUGAAAUCUUGUAAUCCCUGUGGGACCACCUGUGGCGAAGGCGUCUUACCAGAACGGGUUCGACGGUGAGGGACGAAAGCUGGGGGCACGAACCGGAUUAGAUACCCGGGUAGUCCCAGCCGUAAACGAUGCUCGCUAGGUGUCAGGCAUGGCGCGACCGUGUCUGGUGCCGCAGGGAAGCCGUGAAGCGAGCCACCUGGGACGUCCGCCCGCAAG
RNAcentral lists this ribosomal RNA (735 nucleotides) under uncultured Methanosarcinaceae archaeon. RNAcentral's name for it is "SSU rRNA". It matches the Rfam family "Archaeal small subunit ribosomal RNA", at positions 114 to 847 of the family's 1478-position model. Lineage: Archaea; Methanobacteriati; Methanobacteriota; Methanomicrobia; Methanosarcinales; Methanosarcinaceae. The record is from RNAcentral.